UACGUAGGGGGCAAGCGUUAUCCGGAUUUACUGGGUGUAAAGGGAGCGUAGACGGCAAAGCAAGUCCGGAGUGAAAGCCCGGGGCUCAACCCCCGGACUGCUCUGGAAACUGCCAGGCUGGAGUGCAGGAGAGGUAAGUGGAAUUCCUAGUGUAGCGGUGAAAUGCGUAGAUAUUAGGAGGAACACCAGUGGCGAAGGCGGCUUACUGGACUGUAACUGACGUUGAGGCUCGAAAGCGUGGGGAGCAAACAGG
RNAcentral lists this ribosomal RNA (253 nucleotides) under uncultured bacterium. Its description in RNAcentral is "partial 16S ribosomal RNA". It matches the Rfam family "Bacterial small subunit ribosomal RNA", at positions 524 to 776 of the family's 1533-position model. The record is from RNAcentral.